Molecule: long non-coding RNA, 3583 nt
Filed under: Capsicum annuum
Lineage: Eukaryota; Viridiplantae; Streptophyta; Magnoliopsida; Solanales; Solanaceae
Description: long non-coding RNA (CANN_LNC021007)
Source: RNAcentral
CCGGUGUAAUAGUUGAUCUCAGCUCAGUGUGUUUUAGCUUAUGUUUGCUAAUAAAGGGUUAACAUUUACGUGAUUAUUUCAAUAAUUGUACAUCGACAAGACAUAUUAUCAAUCAUAGAUUUCAUAGUACGGAAACAAAAUAUAAGCUAAAAACAAACAAACAAACAAACUUCAUUCUCGUUUUCAAAAAACUCGCCUUCACCCUUCUUCACCUUCUUCUCCACUUGCUUCGCGAAAUACUUAUCAUCAAUCUUCUCCACAUUUACUCCACUUACAUCAACUUUCGUCGACGUGGCAAUUACAUAAGCUUGAUUCACUCUCCUUAACGGAAACCCAUUAACCUUAAACAGCCCACAAACAAGCAAUACCCCAGACCCAACUAGUUGCUUCAAAAACACAACUCUUUCUCCGUUAAACCUCUAGCAAGUACAAUCAACAGUGUUCCAAGUGUAUUACUUGCUCGAAACUUCUUGUGUUUUGGACAUUUCAGCGAUUAUUUCAAUAAAUGUAUAUCGACAAUACAUAUUAUCAUCAUAAAAUCAUAAAUUUCAUAAUACGAAAAAACAAAAUCUAAGCAAGAAUUGAACAAACAAACAAACAAACAAACCUCUUUCUUCUCUUCAAAAAACUCUCCUUCUCCCUUCUCUUCACUGCUUCGCGAAAUAUCAUCUAUCUUCUCCACAUUAAACCCACUUAAAUCUACCUUCGUAGACAUACCAAUAACAUACGCUUAAUUAACUCUCCUUAAUGGAACCCUAUUAACCUUAAACGGCGCACUCACAAGCAACAACCCAGAACCAACGAGAGUUGCUUCAAAAACACUACUCUUUUUCCCUUACUUUCUCUAAGCUUCGUGUAUUUUGGCUUAUGUUUGUUAAUUAGGGGUUCACAUUUACGUGACUAUUUCAAUAAAUGCAUAUCGGCAAUACAUAAUAUCAAUGUAAAAUCAUAAAUUUCAUAAUACGGGAAAAAAAAUAAGCUAAAAUCAAGCAAAUAAACCUCUUUCUUCUCUUCAAAAAACUCACCUUCUCCCUUCUUCACCUUCUAAUCCACUUGCUUCGCAAAAUACUUGUCAUCUAUCUUCUCCACAUUAACCCAAAUUACAUCUACCUUCGUAAACGUACCAAUUACAUAAGCCUAAUUAACCCUCCUAAACGGAACCCCAUUUACCUUAAACGGCCCACUAACAAGCAAUAACCCCGAACCAACAAGUUGCUUCAAAAACACAACUUUUUCCCCUUAAACCUCCCAGCGAAACACUGUUCCCAGUUCGUGUGUUUUAGCUUAUGUUUGUUAAUUAAGGGUUAACAUUACUCGAUCAUUUCAAUAAAUGUAUAUCGACAAUAUGCAUUAUUGACUUGAAAUUAUAAAACUCAUAAUGCAAAAACAAAAUCUAACCACGAAAUGAAACAAUAAACAAAAAUAAACCAAAAAAAAAAACCUCUUUCUUCUCUUCAAAAAACUCUCCUCCACCCUUCUUCACCUUCUUCUCCACCUCCUUCGUGAAGUACUUAUCAUCAAUUUUCUCCACAUUAACACCCAACACAUCAACUUUCGUCGACGUCUCGAUUACAUAAGCCUGAUUAAUCCUCCUUAGCGGAACCCCAUUAACCUUAAACAGCCCACUAACAAGCAACAACCCAGACCUAACAAGUUGCUUCAAAACACUGCUCUUUUCCCUUUCCUUGCACAAAGCUUCGUGUGUUUUAGUUUAUGUUUGUUAAUUAGGGUUAACAUUUACGCGAUUAUUUCAAUAAAUGUCUAUCGACAGUAAAUAUUAUCAAUGUAAAAUCAUAAAUUUCAUAAUAUGGAAACAAAAUAUAAGCUAAAAACAAACAAACAAACCUCUUUCUUCUCUUCAAAAAAACUCUCCUUCACCCUUCUUCUCUGCUUGCUUAGCGAAAUACUUAUCAUCAAUUUUCUCCACAUUUACUCCACUCACAUCAACUUCCGUCCACGUAGAAAUUACAUACGCUUGAUUAACUCUCCUUAACGGAACCCCAUUAACCUUAGACGGCCCACUAACAAGCAACAACCCCAAACCAACAAGUUGCUUCAAAAACAAUAUUCUUUUUCCCUUACUUGCUCAAAGCUUCGUGUGUUUUGGCUUAUGUUUGUUAAUUAGGGGUUAACAUUAUGCAAUUAUUACAAUAAAUGUAUAUCGACAAUAUAUCAUUGACUAAAAACUAAUAAAUUUCAUAAUGCAAAAACAAAGCCUAAGCAAGAAUUGAACAAAUAAACAAACAAACCUCUUUCUUCUCUUCAAAAAUAUCUCCUUCUCCCUUCUUCACCUUCUUCCCCGCCUCCUUCGCGAAAUACCUGUCAUCUAUCUUCUCCACAUUUACACCACUCACAUCAACUUUCGUCGACGUAGCAAUUACAUAAGCUUGAUUCACCCUUCUUAAUGGAACCCCAUUAACCUUAAAUGGUCCCGUAACAAGCAACAACCCAAACCCUACAAGUUGCUUCAAAAACACUACUCUUUUUCCCUUAAACCUCCCAGCAGGUACAAUCAACACUCAACACUGUUCCAGGUGCAUUACGUGCGCUAAGCUUAGUGUGUUUUGGAUUAUGUUUGUUAAUUAGGGGUUACCAUUACGCGAUCAUUUCAAUAAAUGCACACCGACAAUAUGCAUUAUUGACUUAAAAUUAAUAAAUUUCAUAAUGCGAAAACAAAAUCUAAGCAAGAAUAGAACAAACAAACCUCUUUCUUCUCUUCAAAAAUCUCUCCUUCUCCCUGCUUCACCUUCUUCUCCACUUGUUUCGCGAAAUACUUAUCAUCAAUUUUCUCCACACUAAUCCCACCUACAUCAACUUUCGUAGACGUCCAAAUUACAUAAGCCUGAUUAAUUCUUCUUAACGGGACCCCAUUGACCUUUAACGAUCCACUAACAAGUAACAACCCAGACCCAACAAGUUGCUUCAAAAACACUACUCUUUUUCCCUUGCUCUAAGCGUGGUGUCUUUUGGCUUAUGUUUGUUAAUUAGGGGUUAACAUUACGCGAUCAUUUCAAUAAAUGUAUAUCGACAAUACACAUUAUCAACGUAAAAUCAUAAAUUCCACAAUAAGGAAACAGAAUAUAAGCAUAAAAUGCACACACAAGCGCCUUUGUUCCCUUCAAAAAACUCACCUUCACCCUUCUUCACCUUCUUCUCCACUUGCUUCCCGAAAUACUUACCUAUUUUCUCCACAUUAACCACACUCACAUGAACCCAGACCCAACAAGUUGCUUCAAAAACCUCUUUUUCCCUUACUUGCUCUAAGCUUCGUUUGUUUUAGCUUGAGUUUGUUAAUUAGGGGUUAACAUUACGCGAUCAUUUCAAUAAUGCAAAUAAUAAAUUUCGUAAUGCAAAAACAAAAUCUAAGCAAGAAAUGACCAAACAAAUAAACAAACAAACCUCUUUCUUCUCUUCAAAAAACUCUCCUUCUCCCUUCUUCACCUUCUUCUCCACUUGCUUCGCGAAAUACUUAUCAUCAAUCUUCUCCACAUUAACCCCACUCACAUCAACUUUCGUCGAUGUAGCAAUUACAUAAGCCUGAUUAACUCUCCUCAAUGGAACCCCAUUAACCUUAAAUGGACCC